Long non-coding RNA from Cannabis sativa, 1743 nucleotides. RefSeq lists it as uncharacterized. NCBI's taxonomy places the organism in Eukaryota, Viridiplantae, Streptophyta, Magnoliopsida, Rosales, Cannabaceae. The record is from RefSeq and is a predicted model, not a curated record. The transcript has 4 exons.
UAAGAACAGAAUUUACUAACAAAAUUGCUCAAUUUCUGUUGUGUUGAGUUAAUUUGAUUUCAUUGAUGAAGAUGAGAUUUUCCUAGCUUAAAUUGGUUGAAGGUCAAAAGGUCAGAGAUUAUUUGACUUUUUAUAGUCAAAAGGUCAGAGAUUUAUAUACAUAUAUGUAUUACAUAUGUAUGUAUAUAUAUGGCUUUACUCUCUGUUCAUAUUAAUUUUUAGUAUUUUGUAUUGAAUUGCUCAUCAAAGUUAAAUUGUUCUAUUAUACUAAUUAGAACAAAAUUUGUUGAAUUGAAUUGAUUUGAUGAUCUAGGAAUAUCGUUCGCAUAGCUCAAAUUGUUCGCAUAGCCAGGGAAGAAGUCCAUCUCCUGCACCUAAUUGUUCAAGCUCAAAUUGGAAGUCUCCUGUCAGUCGCUCCCAGUCCACUUCAACUCCAACUGCCAGGAAACUCUUUUCUGAAUCUCCUCGUAGUGGUAGUAGCCCUGGUUCUCCAACAGAAGACACAAGAUCAUCGAUUGAGAAUUCGUAUUCUCAGGCCAAUGGAACUGAGGCUGAAAAUAACAUUAAUUUGAUAAUAUACCCCUGUGAGAGAUUAAAAGUGGUGUCUAGUGAUCCAGUACCAGGCAUAGACGUGACUAAAAGAGAGGUAUUUCUCUUUUAUACUCAAGUAAUGGGGAGAGAGCCUCAGUUGUAUACAUUUUAAUGCUGUGGGAAGACUUUUUAUUUUUUAUUUUUAAUUUCUGGUUGUGAGCUGUGAUGACAACUCCUUUGGUGCUUUCAAAACAUGGGAGCCUAGUGAGUCAGAACACUCUAGUUCUUUGAAGAUAUGGGAUUAUUCUGAUUCUGAGGCUGCUCCUGCUUCUUCUUGGUCUACUCUCCCUAAUAAGUCCUGAAUGUGCAGACCAUUGCCUAUGGAUAUAGGAAGGUGUACUUGUGUUAUUGUUAAGGAAGCAUCACCAGAUGGAUUUCAUGGGGGGACUCUGUAUUCUCUGUAUACCAAUGUAAGAUUUUUCUGUUUUGUUUUCUUAUUUCAACUGUAAAAUAUUGGGGUAAUUUCAAAUAGUCAAUGUACUAUCAUAUAAUUAUAAGUACUCACAUUUUUUCUUUUUUCUUUCAAAGUUGCAGGAAACGUGAAAUUAGUUUCAAUCAUGAAAACUGGUCACAUUACUAUGAAAGAUACAUCAUAUUCAUUGCAUUGCUUCUUGUAGUUAGCUUUAGGAGUUUCUUUGCCUUUCAUUCCAGCUAUUGGUUGGAUAAUAGAAUUGAAUGGAAAAAAUCUGAUCAAUUUGCUUGAUUGAAUUUGUAGCUCUUUCCUUCUGUCCUUCUAGGUGCACUAAUUACCUAACAUUACAGACUAAAUUAUUAUGGCAUGCUAUGAAUUGGAAUCUCAAUUUCUCUCUGGUCUCGUCUUUGCCGGUAGAAUCACUAUCAGGACAAGUGGUUUUGCUGUGAUGAUUACAGUAGAAUUCUAAGUGGAAAAAGUCAUUAUCCAGAACAUUAUUUCUCUCAAGGUCUGCUGCUAAUUGCUAUUGGUGAUCGAGAUAGUGACAUGAUCAAGAGACAUGAAUAUCUGCAAUUAGUAAUUAAUGAUAAAUGUUACAAAUAGAUUUUUAUUAGACUUAUUAAACGUUACAUGAGCUUUUAUCAUGUUUUUUUGUACUUGGACCAAAUUUCAUUUGUGAUACAUGUAUUGAAUAUUUUGAUGGUAUAAGAAAUAUAUUAGAUUUAUCAUCUUAUUUUGUA